RNAcentral lists this long non-coding RNA (380 nucleotides) under Setaria viridis. RNAcentral's name for it is "long non-coding RNA (SVIR_LNC002984)". The record is from RNAcentral. Lineage: Eukaryota; Viridiplantae; Streptophyta; Magnoliopsida; Poales; Poaceae.
ACCGGCCACCUGCGGCACUGGCGGGAAGGAUCUUCUGAGUUAGUUUUCCAGGGCGGUUCUGGCGUUCUGCCCUAUGUCUUUCGUAGUCCCUACUGUUUGUCUGACCAGAUAGAAGAACAGGUAGGUAUAUGCAUGGUUUGGCAUUCUGCUGGUUCCAGCCAGGCAGCGCCGGAGAGGAGUGGCACUCAAUGGAAACCAGCACAGGGGAUGGCGUGACCGCCGUGACGCAACUGAAAUAGGAGUAUCUCACAAGCAUGUGCCCAUUAGCCCAUUGAAGUUCCGGAACUACCGUGAAAAAACUUGCAAAAUAUGAGUUGAGAGUUAGGAUGGUGACAUCCAGUGUUUGGGAUCAGUGUUCCCCAUUCUCAUUUUUGGAUUGU